This is a long non-coding RNA of Erigeron canadensis, 1856 nucleotides long. RefSeq lists it as uncharacterized. Lineage: Eukaryota; Viridiplantae; Streptophyta; Magnoliopsida; Asterales; Asteraceae. The record is from RefSeq and is a predicted model, not a curated record. The transcript is spliced from 4 exons.
GGCGGUUUCUAUAUCUACAAAACCCUCCCUCUCUAUCAGGUCAGGCCCCCAAUCCCCUAUUACCACAGCCAAUCAUGGCCACCAAUCACCACCACCAUCCAUCAUAUCAGCACACGCCUCCAUCACCGUCGUUAAUCAGGACUUUUUCUAUGUUGAUUCUCUAGCGUCCCCUUCGUAGAUAUAUAUGCUCAGUUUCUCAGGUGGUUCAUGGUUAUCAUGGAUUUGUAAACAUGUGGGAUGGAAAUGACAUUAUUUUAUGUGGUGCCAAUGAGUCAUACGGGUGUUAACACUUUGUAAGUUUUUAUUGAUGAUUUGCGUUCUGUGGCUGUCGUUGUUUGUUGGCAGUUUCAUCAAGCUACACAUUGGAAGAUGAAGAUCAACUAUUGGAUAACUUGUCAUCGCGGCAAUGCUUUGAAGCAUGAAAAUGAGAUUACAAUUUACAACAAGGGAGGUUGCUACUUAUGGAUUCUAUAUUGCACCUAUAUCGUUUGUCAGUUGUGACAGAGAUGCCAAAGGGAUAUGUCAUGACUCAUGAUUCUAAAACACAAGAUCCAAUUAAUAAAAGGUAUUUGUUUUCUUCAUCGAGGAGGUAUUGAGUAGAUACCAGGAAAUUGUCCCUCAUCUAAAGCUUGCAGGUCUGUGAUAUACCCUUUUGUUUUCUUCAUAUCACCACAAAUAUAUGGCGUUACAUUAGCAAUACAUAUUGCAUUACCAAUGUUGAUAUGGCGUUAUGGCUUAUAACUGAUGACACACACUGAAUACAGGUCAGGAGCGGUGUAGGUAGAGCAGGUAUUUACGUCUUUCUUUGUCUUCAACGGCAGAAAGGCUAGUUGUUCCAGUGACAUGGGAACUGUCCAUAUUUACAACUUGAAGUUUGGUUUUGGGCCAUUCUUUAACCAUAUCUGACCAAAAUAAUAGACCCCCAAGAGCCGUUUCACACCUAAUGUUCAUGAAAGGUACUCUAGAUCUUUCGUUCUUCUCUUUUUCUUGGCUUGGUCACACGAUAAAAAAAAUAGAAAGCUGAUUUAUGAGGAAGUGAAAUCUGUUGAUAAAUGUAGGAAAAUUUUUGUUAUACAUUGCUAUUAUAUAUAUGGGGUGUUUGAAUGUGCGUUUGAAAUUGACUGUGAUUUAGAAAUUUUUUGCAAAUUGUUAGCUAUAACAUAACGUACUGUUUGGCCUUUGGGGUGAGUGGUUGAAUGUGUUUGUGUUGCUUUAUUUAACUAUUGUUGACAUAUCUGCACUAAAUCGAUACAUAUUUACAAGUGGCCUAUCAAGUGAACCCAUGUCCUAUUGAUUGAAGGGUCACCUCAUAUACCACCAGUGAGAUUGGGUAAAUUAAAGGUUGCAAAAUGUGUGGGUUACGGCUGGGUAAUGGCAAAAUUGGAACUGGUCAAAAUUUUAACUUUUUUUUUCCAAUGUUGUUUAGGCCGGGUAGGGUUGUGACCAUGCUGACCAGCAAGGGACUAAUGACUAGGAUGAGGGAGUAAUGACUAGGCUGGUUGUGACCAGCCUAACCAGCAAAUCAGCAUCUUGCGGAUUACCUUUGUUAUAUGUGUGUGAAUCCCUCUACAUGGUAGUCCAUGUAUAGGCAACUUGAUCGGCUACUUUCUAAAAUGGCGACUUUAUAAAAUCCGUUUCCAUAGGGCAACUGGUCCAGAGUGCAGAGUGCGUAGUUGCCUAAUAUGUAUGUAAACUUUAUUUCUACUUCUGAUACGUGUGUGUUUGCUGAACAACUUGAAGGACCGUUUGCUAAGGCAGGUUCCACUAGCCAUGCUAUAUUGGUUGUUCAAUUUGCAAAGCUUAAUGACUAUGGAGGUACACUUAAAUUGGUAAUCAUGGUUUCUUGCUUUUCCUUA